AGUGAACGCUGGCGGUAGGCCUAACACAUGCAAGUCGAACGGCAGCACAGUAAGAGCUUGCUCUUACGGGUGGCGAGUGGCGGACGGGUGAGGAAUACAUCGGAAUCUACUUUUUCGUGGGGGAUAACGUAGGGAAACUUACGCUAAUACCGCAUACGACCUACGGGUGAAAGCAGGGGAUCUUCGGACCUUGCGCGAUUGAAUGAGCCGAUGUCGGAUUAGCUAGUUGGCGGGGUAAAGGCCCACCAAGGCGACGAUCCGUAGCUGGUCUGAGAGGAUGAUCAGCCACACUGGAACUGAGACAAGGUCCAGACUCCAACGGGAGGAAGCAGUGGGGAAUAUUGGACAAUGGGCGCAAGCCUGAUCCAGCCAUACCGCGUGGGUGAAGAAGGCCUUCGGGUUGUAAAGCCCUUUUGUUGGGAAAGAAAAGCAGCAGGUUAAUACCCCGCUGUUCUGACGGUACCCAAAGAAUAAGCACCGGCUAACUUCGUG
This 492-nucleotide ribosomal RNA is filed under the name uncultured bacterium. RNAcentral's name for it is "partial 16S ribosomal RNA". It matches the Rfam family "Bacterial small subunit ribosomal RNA", at positions 29 to 507 of the family's 1533-position model. The record is from RNAcentral.